Molecule: non-coding RNA, 176 nt
Filed under: Chloroflexota bacterium
Lineage: Bacteria; Bacillati; Chloroflexota
Description: Chloroflexi bacterium (anaerobic digester metagenome) 6S RNA
Rfam family: 6S / SsrS RNA
About the family: E. coli 6S RNA was the first non coding RNA to be sequenced, but its function was unknown until recently. It consists of 184 nucleotides that fold into an extended hairpin structure with a large single-stranded internal bulge.
Source: RNAcentral
GUAACCCUACUGUGUGCGUGAUGCUGCUUUCCGGUUUUGGGCCAACACUCAUUAAUAGGGUCCCAAUCUUGAGUGUAUGACGCGAUAGGCCAGAGCCAAGGCGGAUUACACCAGGCGAGACCCAACCUGCGAAGGCAGGUUCAAAACUUUGCUGCACACGACACAGUGGGGUGACG